RNAcentral lists this long non-coding RNA (764 nucleotides) under Homo sapiens (human). Its description in RNAcentral is "non-protein coding lnc-MYOM2-1:3". Lineage: Eukaryota; Metazoa; Chordata; Mammalia; Primates; Hominidae. The record is from RNAcentral.
AGCCUCUGCUGCGGGGGUUGCCGGUGCCACUUCCCCUCUCCACAGCCGUGCGGUGCCCAGCUUAGCUCACGUUCACAGUUCUUUCAGCAGAUGUAGCCGUGGACAGCAGCCUGGUUACAGUGGGAUGUGCAGCUGGCCGACCCCCUCUAGCCAUCCUGCAAGUCACUGUGAACGCCCUCACGCUCCAACAGCAAAGCCACUGCUCAGAAAGAGGCUGGGCUCCUGCACACCUGCCAGCGAUGGCUACCCGUGUCCAUCCUGUUCACUGAAGGGGAGCGGCUCCUGGAGGGUGAAGCCGCUGUGGUUUGAGGGUGAAGCCACUGUCGUUUGAGCCCUCGGCCCGGACGCAGCUGAUGCACCAGCCACAGAAGCACGGAGGAGUCAAGAAUGGGAAGGACAGAAACGGUUCCUGACCUCGGGAGCUGGAGGUUGAGUGGGAACAGCCAUCGCUGGGUUUUUCCCAUAGAAGGAUGAAGACCGCUCUGACGGUGUGGCGCUCCCUCUAGUGGCUGAGAGUCGCUAACUCACCGGCGAGGCUUCCCAAGGCCGGAGGGCGGCUUCUCAAAAGUUUGUUCCAGAGAUGCCUCGUCACCCCUAACACCCUAGUAUACAAUCCAGGAGGCGAAAACUAUUUUGAUCAUACGGAUGAGACCGUGGCUGUAUUAAGAAUGUGUGUGUAAUCCACAGCGGUAUAACGAAAUUUGGAAUAUCUGCGUGACUCCAAACUACUAUUUUCCAAAUGACCGAUGCAUGAUGUUACAAAA